Molecule: ribosomal RNA, 600 nt
Filed under: uncultured bacterium
Lineage: Bacteria
Description: bacterial SSU rRNA
Rfam family: Bacterial small subunit ribosomal RNA
Source: RNAcentral
UGCUUCUUGGGUGACGAGCGGCGGACGGGUGAGUAAUGCAUAGGAAUCUGCCCGAUAGUGGGGGAUAACCUGGGGAAACCCAGGCUAAUACCGCAUACGUCCUACGGGAGAAAGGGGGCUCCGGCUCCCGCUAUGGGAUGAGCCUAUGUCGGAUUAGCUAGUUGGUGAGGUAACGGCUCACCAAGGCAACGAUCCGUAGCUGGUCUGAGAGGAUGAUCAGCCACAUCGGGACUGAGACACGGCCCGAACUCCUACGGGAGGCAGCAGUGGGGAAUAUUGGACAAUGGGCGCAAGCCUGAUCCAGCCAUGCCGCGUGUGUGAAGAAGGCCCUCGGGUUGUAAAGCACUUUCAGCGAGGAAGAACGCCUAGCGGUUAAUACCCGCUAGGAAAGACAUCACUCGCAGAAGAAGCACCGGCUAACUCCGUGCCAGCAGCCGCGGUAAUACGGAGGGUGCAAGCGUUAAUCGGAAUUACUGGGCGUAAAGCGCGCGUAGGUGGCUUGAUAAGCCGGUUGUGAAAGCCCCGGGCUCAACCUGGGAACGGCAUCCGGAACUGUCAAGCUAGAGUGCAGGAGAGGAAGGUAGAAUUCCCGGUGUAGCG